Molecule: non-coding RNA, 952 nt
Organism: Podarcis lilfordi (Lilford's wall lizard)
Lineage: Eukaryota; Metazoa; Chordata; Lepidosauria; Squamata; Lacertidae
Source: the annotation of a GenBank genome assembly
GGAGGCUUCAGAGAUGGAGGGACCUUUGGACGGGCAAGAUCAGCCUUUGAACUUGAUAAAUGAACUUGGGACAAACCAGAUUCGGAAAGAUGAAAUGUGGUCAGAUUUGGAAAUGGGGGAUGGAUCGACCCCCUCCAUAUGGUUAUUUGGACCUUCCGAGUCUGGUGAUGGGCUAUCAGAGGAUUGGAGUAGCCGAAGUCUCCAAGCUUUGUGGAAAUUUGAAGUGGUAUUAUUUGCUGUCUGGCUUGGGCAAUGGGUUUGGGAUGGACUUGUUGCAAAGGGUCAAAAGCAUUUUCUUGCUGGAGCAUCCACGACUGGAAAGGAAUCAUCAACAAGAGUGGCGAAAGGGGCAAGAAAGAGACUUGAGGGCCUCGGAUACGAGACAACCAGGUUAAGGAGCCGGAUUACCGAGGUUAAAAGGACUGACAAUCCCGGGUCCAGGGGAGGGAGGUUGGAAGCUGACUGGACUGAAUUUGACUUAUUAUUUUUUCUUUUUACUUUUUAAUAUUGGGAAUGCUUACAAAUGUUUGAAGGAUGUUGAAUGAAAUUACAUGACUUAAGUAAGGAUUGGUAAAUGAUUCGUAAAAAGGUAAUGAUGCAAGAAUUUGGUAAAUAUUGAAUAUAAGCUAUGAGUUUUAAAGUUUUUAUAUGACAAGAGGGAAAAUAGAAUAAGGAAACGUAAUGACAGAUUGUUAUGAAAAAACAGAAAGGAUUUGCUGUAAAAAUUAAAAAUUAAGAAACAAAAGAGGGGAGGAGGAGGAAGUCUAGAAAGGAAGUCAAUAGAGAUGGUAAAGGACUUUAUAUUUUUGUUUUUCUGUUUCUCUUUUUUUUUUCUUUGCGGCUGGGUUUUCUUUUCUUUUUUGUUUAUGCACUAAUUUUGUUUUUUGUAUCCUUAAAUUUUUUUUGGAAAUUUUUGUUGUUAUUUUUUGAAAAUUCAAUAAAUAUCAACUAU